Molecule: long non-coding RNA, 1178 nt
Organism: Helianthus annuus (common sunflower)
Lineage: Eukaryota; Viridiplantae; Streptophyta; Magnoliopsida; Asterales; Asteraceae
Exons: 5
Source: RefSeq, a predicted model, not a curated record
UGAUGAAAGGUGGAUCAAAUGGCUAGGGUUUUAAAGGCAUCUGGACUAUAAGCGGGAGAAUUUCCCACCUUCACGAGAUUACUUUUCUCCCCCCAAAUCCAAUCAUCUCUCUUUCCAGCCCUAACUUCCCACUCGUCGCUCUCUUUCUAGCCCUAAAUCUCCCCCCUCCAGAGUUUCGGCGUGAAGCUUUUUCCGGCGUGUAGGUGGUUUGCGACUUCUUUACAACAGGAUCAUGUUCUAGCUUUGGAAGACUCAGCAAUGGAUGCUGAUCAAGUGGACAACCUCAUAAAGUUUUAUCCAACAAAAGAGGAGAUGGAGCUGCUUCACGUAAACUGUUAGUAAAACAGUUUAAAGGAUUAAAAGACAGAAUAAACCCUGAACUGCUAGAAAUAUGUCAAUUAAGUCCUUGGAAUCUAAUUCCAAAAGUAAGGAUAUUUCUACACACUUACCAAUAUUGCAGCAAGUUUAAGCAUGGUCCCGAUCAUGAUUAUAAUGGCUUUUGUGCUCAGGGGUACAAAGGAGAGAAGGAUAAAUUAGGAAAAUGUGAACAGGUGCUUGAAGUUCUUAAUUUUUCAAAGGAUCUUAGCAGUUUGGAACCUGCAGAAAAGGCGUAUAGCAGAGCUCUUGGAUGUGAAGCCUCUUGGGUGUGUAGCCGCUAUGUAAAGAUGAGAGAGAGGAAGAUAAAUACCAUAGGGCUUUUGUUUUAGCAGUGUAUUUAUGUAAGGCUGGAGGGUGUGGUUGGAGCCCCCUAGGGGCUUUAUAAAGCCAUGUAGGAUCCACAUCACCAUGGAGCCUCUCUUUAAUUUGGAGGGUGUGGAUGAAGCCUCGAACAAAAUUAAAAAAAAAAAAAAUUGAUUGGACUAAAACUAGUAGCACCACCUGAACAUUUCAAACUCGGUGCUACCAUGGUGGCGAAUGGAAGAUGGCGCCCCCUCUUCACUUUGAGGGUGUAGUGAUGGAGCCCAUAUGGGCGCUAUACAUGCUGAGGUGGCGGGGGUGACGCCCCCACACCCUCUAGCCUAAAAUGAUGUUUUAUCAUGAAAUGUAGAGUUCGAGUCUCUCAGUUGAAAAGUCUUUAAGUAUAUAUUUCACAUCAACUGUUUAAGUAGUAUAGGAAUUCAUAGUAAGCUGCGAUGUUAAUACAAGAAUUUGUUAAACUACAAGAAUUAAAACAUGUA